RNAcentral lists this ribosomal RNA (988 nucleotides) under bacterium enrichment culture clone ZZ_E8b. RNAcentral describes it as "bacterial SSU rRNA". It matches the Rfam family "Bacterial small subunit ribosomal RNA", at positions 12 to 975 of the family's 1533-position model. The record is from RNAcentral.
UUUGAUCCUGGCUCAGGACGAACGCUGGCGGCGUGCUUAACACAUGCAAGUCGAACGGAGAAUUUAUUUCGGUAAAUUCUUAGUGGCGAACGGGUGAGUAACGCGUAGGCAACCUGCCCUUUGGAUGGGGACAACAUUCCGAAAGGAGUGCUAAUACCGAAUGUGAUCCAUUUCUCGCAUGAGAGAUGGAUGAAAGAUGGCCUCUAUUUAUAAGCUAUCGCCAAAGGAUGGGCCUGCGUCUGAUUAGUUAGUUGGUGGGGUAACGGCUCACCAAGACGAUGAUCAGUAGCCGGUCUGAGAGGAUGAACGGCCACAUUGGGACUGAGACACGGCCCAAACUCCUACGGGAGGCAGCAGUGGGGAAUCUUCCGCAAUGGACGAAAGUCUGACGGAGCAACGCCGCGUGAGUGAUGAAGGUUUUCGGACUGUAAAACUCUGUUGUCAGGGACGAAGGUGCGAUCUGCUAAUAGUUGAUCGUAUUGACGGUACCUGACGAGGAAGCCACGGCUAACUACGUGCCAGCAGCCGCGGUAAUACGUAGGUGGCAAGCGUUGUCCGGAAUUAUUGGGCGUAAAGAGCAUGUAGGUGGGCUUUUAAGUCCGAUGUGAAAAUGCGGGGCUCAACCCCGUAUGGCAUUGGAUACUGGAAGUCUUGAGUGCAGGAGAGGAAAGGGGAAUUCCCAGUGUAGCGGUGAAAUGCGUAGAUAUUGGGAGGAACACCAGUGGCGAANGCGCCUUUCUGGACUGUGUCUGACACUGAGAUGCGAAAGCUAGGGUAGCAAACGGGAUUAGAUACCCCGGUAGUCCUAGCCGUAAACGAUGGGUACUAGGUGUAGGGGGGUAUCGACCCCCCCUGUGCCGGANUUAACGCAAUAAGUACCCCGCCUGGGGACUANGNUCGCAAGACUGAAACUCAAAGGAAUUGACGGGGGCCCGCACAAGCGGUGGAGUAUGNGGUUUAAUUCGACGCAACNCNANGAANCCUUACC